GAUUCAGAUAAAUCGAAGUUCGGCGUUUGGUACCGGGUAAUUUCCGAUGUUCAUUGCAAUCUGGAUGAAAAUCAAUCCAUAGAUAAUAAUAGACAUAUUAGAGGGGUGCAUGAUUGAACGAAUGACUUUUGGUCUUGCGUUCCGUUGAGACAUUUGGUAAACAUUUAAUAUUUUAUAUCAUUAUGAAAUUAAAAAAUACAGACUAAUUUUGUAUGUUAUUUUUAUUAAUUGAUAAUAUUUUUAGUUAAUCACUUUGUAAAGUCUUACAAAUGUUUAAAACAAAAGGAAAAUGCAACGACGGAUUUUUCUUUUGCAACUGAAGUAAUGAAACGCAAAAAAAAAAGAAAAAUGACGUUAUGUUAUAUCAGCUGACAUACUUGAAUUCGCGCCGAAUGCAACAGUUUUAUCUUCUCAGAAUUUAUACAAUAACAACAAUAACGAAAGAAAUAUCACCGAUUUACUACCUACUAGAUCUGAGAGUCGGAGGCUAGACAUGGAGGAGCGACUUGUUUCAGCAGUUAACAAGCUGGCUGGCUACAGCUGCUGAAGCUAAUAGCAAGGCCGCGGAUAUGCAAACAGAGUUGCUUCGGCUGCUGCUGGAGGAAGCUAGGUGAAGACCAAUAUAAGGUUAAAGAAUAGCAGCAUGACGAUUCUCAAGAACAAAGACACUAGCGAAGAACGAAGAUACAAACUAAGUUAAAAUACUUAAGUAAAAACAUAUGUAUUCAAUAAACUUGUAUGUAAAUAUUUAAGCUAAA
Molecule: long non-coding RNA, 758 nt
Filed under: Pectinophora gossypiella (pink bollworm)
Lineage: Eukaryota; Metazoa; Arthropoda; Insecta; Lepidoptera; Gelechiidae
Description: uncharacterized LOC126378584
Source: RNAcentral